AGGUCAAGCUAAUAAGGGCUAACGGUGGAUACCUAGGCACACGGAAGCGAAGAAGGACGUAGUUACCGACGAAACGCUUCGGGGAGCGGGAAGCAAGCAUUGAUCCGAAGAUAUCCGAAUGGGGCAACCCUAAACACGACCACCUGAAUAUAUAUGGUGGAGCGAGCAAACCUGGUGAACUGAAACAUCUUAGUAGCCAGAGGAAAAGAAAGCAACAGCGAUUCCCCCAGUAGCGGCGAGCGAAAAGGGAACAGCCUAAACCAAGUUCUUCGGAACUUGGGGUCGUGGGACAGUAACAAAAGACUGGGAAAUUUAGACGAAGCGGCUGAAAACCGCACCAGAGAAGGUGAAAGUCCUGUAGUCGAAAAAGGAACCAGCUUAACUGCAUCCCGAGUAGCAUGGGGCACGUGAAAUCCCGUGUGAAUCUGCCUCGACCACGAGGUAAGGCUAAAUAUUCCCGUGUGACCGAUAGAGAAACAGUACCGCGAGGGAAAGGUGAAAAGAACCCCGGAAGGGGAGUGAAAUAGAACAUGAAACCGUUAGCCUACAAGCAAUGGGAGGACGAUUGAACGUCUGACCGUGUGCCUGUUGAAGAAUGAGCCGGCGACUUACAGGUUAUGGCAGGUGAAGGGGGAAGACCCCACAGCCCCAGCGAAAGCGAGUCUGAAUAGGGCGAAGCGUCAUAAUUUGUAGACCCGAACCCGGGUGAUCUAACCAUGGCCAGGAUGAAGCUUGGGUAAAACCAAGUGGAGGUCCGAACCGACUAAUGUUGAAAAAUUAGCGGAUGAGCUGUGGUUAGGGGUGAAAUGCCAAUCGAACUCGGAGCUAGCUGGUUCUCCCCGAAAUGUGUUGAGGCGCAGCGGUAGUGGAAGUUUAGUCGGGGUAAAGCACUGUUUCGCCGCGGGCUGGGAGACCGGUACCAAGGCGAGGCAAACUCUGAAUACGGCUAAAAAAACUACCAGUGAGACGGUGGGGGAUAAGCUUCAUCGUCAAGAGGGAAACAGCCCAGACCACCAGCUAAGGUCCCCAAAUGAUAACUAAGUGAGAAAGGAGGUGGGAGUGCAUUGACAACCAGGAGGUUUGCCUAGAAGCAGCAAUCCUUAAAAGAGUGCGUAAUAGCUCACUGGUCAAGCGCUCCUGCGCCGAAAAUGAACGGGGCUAAGUUAUCUACCGAAGCUGUGGACUACAUUGUAGUGGUAGGGGAGCGUUCUAUAGGGGGUGAAGCAGUAGCGGCAAGCAGCUGUGGACUCUAUAGAAGUGAGAAUGUCGGCUUAAGUAGCGAAAAUGUGGGUGAGAAUCCCACACCCCGAAACCCCAAGGUUUCCUCCGCAAGGCUCGUCCGCGGAGGGUCAGUCAGGACCUAAGGCGAGGCUGAAAAGCGUAGUCGAUGGACAACGGGUUAACAUUCCCGUACCGAUUAAUGAUUGUGCCGGAGAACGGAGAAGGUCAACGUCAGCUGGAUGUUGGUUACCAGUGCAAGCAGUCGAGGCGAUGAGAGGUGGAGAAAACACCAGGAGCUAAGACGCGAGUCCCACCUCCCACGGGAGGGAAGUGGCGCUGAUCAAGCUUCCUAGAAAAGCCCGAACCACGUUAAUCAUUAAUUGCCUGUACCCGAAACCGACACAGGUGGGGAAGUAGAGAAUACUAAGGGGCGCGAGAUAACUCUCUCUAAGGAACUCGGCAAAAUGACCCCGUAACUUCGGGAGAAGGGGUACCCUCGCAAGAGGGUCGCAGUGAAUAGGCCCAGGCGACUGUUUACCAAAAACACAGGUCUCCGCCAAGUCGUAAGACGCAGUAUGGGGGCUGACGCCUGCCCAGUGCCGGAAGGUUAAGGAAGUUGGUCAGGAGUAAUCUGAAGCUGACGACCGAAGCCCCGGUGAACGGCGGCCGUAACUAUAACGGUCCUAAGGUAGCGAAAUUCCUUGUCGGGUAAGUUCCGACCCGCACGAAAGGCGUAACGAUCUGGGCACUGUCUCGGAGAGAGACUCGGCGAAAUAGGAUUGUCUGUGAAGAUACGGACUACCUGCACCUGGACAGAAAGACCCUAUGAAGCUUUACUGUAGCCUGGAAUUGGCUUCGGGCUUCGCUUGCGCAGGAUAGGUGGGAAGCUUUGAAACUCUCCUCGUGGGGAGAGUGGAGCUAACGGUGAGAUACCACUCUGGCGAGGCUAGAAUUCUAACCCUGACCCCUAAUCGGGGCGGGAGACAGUUUCAGGUGGGCAGUUUGACUGGGGCGGUCGCCUCCUAAAAGGUAACGGAGGCGCGCAAAGGUUCCCUCGGUCCCGUUGGAAAUGGGACGAUAGAGUGCAAAAGCAGAAGGGAGCUUGACUGUGAGACCCACAAGUCGAACAGGGACGAAAGUCGGCUUUAGUGAUCCGACGGCACCGCGUGGAAGGGCCGUCGCUCAACGGAUAAAAGUUACUCUAGGGAUAACAGGCUGAUCUCCCCCAAGAGUUCACAUCGACGGGGAGGUUUGGCACCUCGAUGUCGGCUCAUCGCAACCUGGGGCUGAAGUCGGUCCCAAGGGUUGGGCUGUUCGCCCAUUAAAGCGGUACGUGAGCUGGGUUCAGAACGUCGUGAGACAGUUCGGUCCAUAUCCGGUGUAGGCGUAAGAGCAUUGCGAGGAGCCUUCCUUAGUACGAGAGGACCGGGAAGGACGCACCGCUGGUGUACCUGUUAUCGUGCCAACGGUAAACGCAGGGUAGCCAUGUGCGGAGCGGAUAACCGCUGAAAGCAUCUAAGUGGGAAGCCCACCUCCAGAUGAUUGCUCUCAUGGCAUUAAGCCAGUAAGGUCUCGGGUAGACUACCCGUUGAUAGGCUCUAGAUGGAAGCUCGGUAACGAGUGCAGUCGAGGAGUACUAACCGACCGAGGGCUUGACCUG
Molecule: ribosomal RNA, 2881 nt
Filed under: Microcystis aeruginosa NIES-2549
Lineage: Bacteria; Bacillati; Cyanobacteriota; Cyanophyceae; Chroococcales; Microcystaceae
Also listed under: 1 other name
Description: LSU rRNA
Rfam family: Bacterial large subunit ribosomal RNA
Source: RNAcentral